GACGGACCACACGAACGUUAUUCGGAAUUACUGGGCUUAAAGGGUGCGUAGGCUGUGCAGAAAGUUGGGUGUGAAAUCCCUCGGCUUAACCGAGGAAUUGCGCCCAAAACUACUGUGCUUGAGGAAGAUAGAGGUAAGCGGAACUUAGGGUGGAGCGGUGAAAUGCGUUGAUAUCCUAAGGAACACCGGUGGCGAAAGCGGCUUACUGGGUCUUUUCUGACGCUGAGGCACGAAAGCUAGGGUAGCGAACGGG
RNAcentral lists this ribosomal RNA (253 nucleotides) under uncultured bacterium. RNAcentral's name for it is "partial 16S ribosomal RNA". It matches the Rfam family "Bacterial small subunit ribosomal RNA", at positions 524 to 776 of the family's 1533-position model. The record is from RNAcentral.